Molecule: ribosomal RNA, 479 nt
Filed under: uncultured bacterium
Lineage: Bacteria
Description: partial 16S ribosomal RNA
Rfam family: Bacterial small subunit ribosomal RNA
Source: RNAcentral
GAUGAACGCUGGCGGCGUGCUUAACACAUGCAAGUCGAACGAAGCACUUUAACCUGAUUCUUCGGAUGAAGGUUUUUGUGACUGAGUGGCGGACGGGUGAGUAACGCGUGGGUAACCUGCCUCAUACAGGGGGAUAACAGUUAGAAAUGACUGCUAAUACCGCAUAAGACCACAGAGCCGCAUGGCUCGGUGGGAAAAACUCCGGUGGUAUGAGAUGGACCCGCGCCUGAUUAGGUAGUUGGUGGGGUAACGGCCUACCAAGCCAACGAUCAGUAGCCGACCUGAGAGGGUGACCGGCCACAUUGGGACUGAGACACGGCCCAAACUCCUACGGGAGGCAGCAGUGGGGAAUAUUGCACAAUGGGGGAAACCCUGAUGCAGCGACGCCGCGUGAGCGAAGAAGUAUUUCGGUAUGUAAAGCUCUAUCAGCAGGGAAGAAAAUGACGGUACCUGACUAAGAAGCACCGGCUAAAUACGUG